Molecule: long non-coding RNA, 323 nt
Organism: Rhagoletis pomonella (apple maggot)
Lineage: Eukaryota; Metazoa; Arthropoda; Insecta; Diptera; Tephritidae
Exons: 3
Source: RefSeq, a predicted model, not a curated record
CACAAAUGAGUGCAACAGGUUGUUUUAGAUAGAUUCACAAAUAAGUUUGAUGGAUAAGUCAGUGGAAGGCUAUAAAAUAGAUCUUAAGCGUUCAUGUGCCAACCGAAAAAGCAAAGUAUGGGACUACUUUGGAACUUUGAUUAUAGAAGGCGAAAGUGUUGAAGAAGAUAAAGUUUUUUGCAAGAUAUGUUUAGAAAAACAGAAAAAAGAAGAUGGAACAGUAAUUUUUUCAUGUGCUAAAAUUCAGUCAUACAGUAAAAGCUGUUCAACCGGGAAUUUAACGCGCCAUCUAAAAAAUGAACACAAUAUACGUGAUGUCGACC